RNAcentral lists this ribosomal RNA (331 nucleotides) under uncultured eukaryote. Its description in RNAcentral is "partial 18S ribosomal RNA". It matches the Rfam family "Eukaryotic small subunit ribosomal RNA", at positions 1470 to 1796 of the family's 1831-position model. The record is from RNAcentral.
CCCUUAGAUGUUCUGGGCCGCACGCGCGCUACACUGUUCGACGCAGCGAGUCUUAACCUUGACCGAAAGGUUUGGGUAAUCUUCAGCAAAGUCGAACGUGAUGGGGAUCGAUCAUUGCAAUUAUUGAUCGUGAACGAGGAAUUCCUAGUAAGUGCAAGUCAUCAGCUUGCGCUGAUUACGUCCCUGCCCUUUGUACACACCGCCCGUCGCUACUACCGAUUGAAUGGUUUAGUGAGAUCUCUGGAUUGACGCUGGCUAGGGGGCGACCCUUGGCCAGACUGUUGAGAAACUGCUCAAGCUUGAUCAUUUAGAGGAAGUAAAAGUCGUAACA